Molecule: ribosomal RNA, 2981 nt
Filed under: Pseudidiomarina terrestris
Lineage: Bacteria; Pseudomonadati; Pseudomonadota; Gammaproteobacteria; Alteromonadales; Idiomarinaceae
Description: 23S ribosomal RNA
Rfam family: Bacterial large subunit ribosomal RNA
Source: RNAcentral
GGUUAAGUGACGAAGCGUAGACGGUGGAUGCCUAGGCAGUUGGAGGCGAUGAAGGACGUACUAACUUGCGAUAAGCCAUGAUGAGGCAGUAAGAGCCGCAUGAGUCAUGGAUUUCCGAAUGGGGAAACCCAGUGUGCUUGCACACUAUCCUUAACUGAAUUCAUAGGUUAAGGAAGCGAACCCGGAGAACUGAAACAUCUAAGUACCCGGAGGAAAAGAAAUCAACCGAGAUUUCCCUAGUAGCGGCGAGCGAACGGGAAUUAGCCCUUAAGCAAUCAUGGUGUUAGUGGAAUGAGCUGGAAAGCUCGACGAUACAGGGUGAUAGUCCCGUACACGACGAUGCCAUGGAUGUGAAAACGAGUAGGUCGGGACACGUGUUAUCUUGACUGAAUAUGGGGGGACCAUCCUCCAAGGCUAAAUACUCCCAACUGACCGAUAGUGAACCAGUACCGUGAGGGAAAGGCGAAAAGAACCCCGGCGAGGGGAGUGAAAUAGAACCUGAAACCGUCUACGUACAAGCAGUAGGAGCACCUUCGUGGUGUGACUGCGUACCUUUUGUAUAAUGGGUCAGCGACUUAUAUUUUGUAGCAAGGUUAACCGUAUAGGGGAGCCGUAGGGAAACCGAGUCUUAACUGGGCGCUUAGUUGCAAGGUAUAGACCCGAAACCGGGCGAUCUAGCCAUGGGCAGGUUGAAGAUUGAGUAACAUCAAUUGGAGGACCGAACUCACUAAUGUUGAAAAAUUAGGAGAUGACCUGUGGCUCGGAGUGAAAGGCUAAUCAAGCCCGGAGAUAGCUGGUUCUCCCCGAAAGCUAUUUAGGUAGCGCCUCGGACGAAUACCACUGGGGGUAGAGCACUGUUUGGGCUAGGGGGUCAUCCCGACUUACCAACCCCAUGCAAACUCCGAAUACCAGUGAGUACUAUCCGGGAGACACACGGCGGGUGCUAACGUCCGUCGUGAAGAGGGAAACAACCCAGACCGCCAGCUAAGGUCCCGAAGUCAUGGCUAAGUGGGAAACGAUGUGGGAAGGCUCAGACAGCUAGGAGGUUGGCUUAGAAGCAGCCACCCUUUAAAGAAAGCGUAAUAGCUCACUAGUCGAGUCGGCCUGCGCGGAAGAUGUAACGGGGCUAAGCCAUGCACCGAAGCUGCGGCUACAUACUCUGUAUNNNNNNNNNNNNNNNNNNNNNNNNNNNNNNNNNNNNNNNNNNNNNNNNNNNNNNNNNNNNNNNNNNNNNNNNNNNNNNNNNNNNNNNNNNNNAUGUAUGUGGGGUAGGGGAGCGUUCUGUAAGCCGUUGAAGGUGGAUUGAGAAGUCUGCUGGAGGUAUCAGAAGUGCGAAUGCUGACAUGAGUAACGAUAAUGGGAGUGAAAAACUCCCACGCCGGAAGACCAAGGUUUCCUAUCCCAUGCUAAUCAGGGUAGGGUAAGUCGGCCCCUAAGGCGAGGCCGAGAGGCGUAGUCGAUGGGAAUCAGGUUAAUAUUCCUGAACCGAUAUAUACUGCGAUGGGGGGACGGAGAAGGCUAGGCAAGCCGGGUGUUGGUAAUCCCGGUGAAAGUAUGUAGGUUGGCGGCUUAGGUAAAUCCGGGCUGCUAAGACUGAGAUACGAGACGAGUACCUACGGGUGCGAAGUUGUUGAUGCCAUGCUUCCAGGAAAAGCCUCUAAGCUUCAGGUAUAUAUUGACCGUACCCGAAACCGACACAGGUGGUCAGGUAGAGAAUACUAAGGCGCUUGAGAGAACUCGGGUGAAGGAACUAGGCAAAAUAGUACCGUAACUUCGGGAGAAGGUACGCCAGAGCUAGUGAACCCCUUGCGGGGGGAGCUGGAGCUGGCCGCAGUGACCAGGUGGCUGGGACUGUUUAUUAAAAACACAGCACUCUGCAAACACGAAAGUGGACGUAUAGGGUGUGACACCUGCCCGGUGCCGGAAGGUUAAUUGAUGGGGUUAGCGUAAGCGAAGCUCUUGAUCGAAGCCCCGGUAAACGGCGGCCGUAACUAUAACGGUCCUAAGGUAGCGAAAUUCCUUGUCGGGUAAGUUCCGACCUGCACGAAUGGUGUAACCAUGGCCACGCUGUCUCCACCCGAGACUCAGUGAAAUUGAAAUCGCCGUGAAGAUGCGGUGUACCCGCGGCUAGACGGAAAGACCCCGUGAACCUUUACUACAGCUUGGCACUGAACAUUGAACCUCCAUGUGUAGGAUAGGUGGGAGGCUUAGAAGCACUGGCGCUAGUUGGUGUGGAGCCAUCCUUGAAAUACCACCCUUGUAUGUUUGAUGUUCUAACUUAGCCCCCUUAUCGGGGGUGAGGACAGUGCCUGGUGGGUAGUUUGACUGGGGCGGUCUCCUCCCAAAGAGUAACGGAGGAGCACGAAGGUUGGCUAAGUACGGUCGGACAUCGUACGGUUAGUGUAAUGGCACAAGCCAGCUUAACUGCGAGACAGACACGUCGAGCAGGUACGAAAGUAGGUCAUAGUGAUCCGGUGGUUCUGAAUGGAAGGGCCAUCGCUCAACGGAUAAAAGGUACUCCGGGGAUAACAGGCUGAUACCGCCCAAGAGUUCAUAUCGACGGCGGUGUUUGGCACCUCGAUGUCGGCUCAUCACAUCCUGGGGCUGUAGUCGGUCCCAAGGGUAUGGCUGUUCGCCAUUUAAAGUGGUACGCGAGCUGGGUUUAGAACGUCGUGAGACAGUUCGGUCCCUAUCUGCCGUGGGCGUUUGAGAGUUGAGAGGGGUUGCUCCUAGUACGAGAGGACCGGAGUGAACGAACCUCUGGUGUUCGGGUUGUCAUGCCAAUGGCACUGCCCGGUAGCUAUGUUCGGAAUCGAUAACCGCUGAAAGCAUCUAAGCGGGAAGCGAGCCUCAAGAUAAGCUCUCACUAGCACGUAAGUGCUCUGAAGGGUUGUUGAAGACGACGACGUUGAUAGGCGGGAUGUGGAAGCGUAGUAAUGCGUUGAGCUAACCCGUACUAAUUGCCCGUGAGGCUUAACCAU